CUAACCUAACCUAACCUAACCUAACCUAACCUAACCUAACCUAACCCAACCCAACCCAAACCCAACCCAAACCCAACUCGGUUAGGACUGCCAAUCAAACCGCAACCACCUCAUUGAAAAUACCCAAAGUCGAGACCUAACUUCAAAGAGGGGGAGUAAGGUCUCCAAAGGUCAAAGUCGAAUCUAAAAAAAAGGUUAGGUCUCAAAAAAAAAAGAGUUAGGUCUGGAAAAGGUUAAAUCUCGAAAAACAGCGGAAUAUUAAAAAAGGUUAAAUCUCAAAAAGGUUAGGUCUGGAAAAAGGUUAGGUCUCAAAAAUUUCAAAAAAAAAUUCCAAAAAUCGGUCCAAAAUUUGUCGUGCCAAAACGCGUUUCUCGACCUUCUGAAUCGAUUGGUACAGUCGUAACUUGACCGGUUUUUCCAACCAAAUGUAAGACUAGGGACUUAGAAAAAUUUCAAAAAAAUUCCAAAAAUUCCAAAAAUCGGUCCAAAAUUUGUAGUGCCAAAACGCGUUUCUCGACUUUCUGAAUCGAUUGGUACAGUCGUAACUUGACCGGUUUUUCCAACCAAAUGUAAGACUAGGGACUUAGAAAAAUUUCAAAAAAA
Long non-coding RNA from Monomorium pharaonis (pharaoh ant), 603 nucleotides. RefSeq lists it as uncharacterized. The record is from RefSeq and is a predicted model, not a curated record. NCBI's taxonomy places the organism in Eukaryota, Metazoa, Arthropoda, Insecta, Hymenoptera, Formicidae. The transcript is spliced from 2 exons.